CCUACGGGGUGCAGCAGUGGGGAAUAUUGGGCAAUGGAGGCAACUCUUACCCAGCAAUGCCGCGUGAAUGAAGAAGGUCUUCGGAUUGUAAAGUUCUUUAAUUGGGGACGAAAAAAAUGACGGUAUCAAAGGAAUAAGCCCCGGCUAACUACGUGCCAGCCGCCGCGGUAAUACGUAGGGGGCAAGCGUUGUUCGGAAUGACUUGGCGGAAAGGGUGUGGAGGCGGGGUAGACACUUAGAAGUGAAAUACCUAGAGCUUAACUCAGGUGCUGGUUCUAAAAUUGCGAUCCUUGAGUGCAGUAGAGGAAAGUGGAAUUCCUAGUGUAGCGGUGGAAUGCGUAGAUAUUAGGAGGAACAUCAGUGGCGAAGGCGACUUUCUGGACUGUAACUGACGCUGAGGCACGAAAGUGUGGGGAGCAAACAGGAUUAGAUACCCGAGUAGUC
RNAcentral lists this ribosomal RNA (444 nucleotides) under uncultured bacterium. Its description in RNAcentral is "partial 16S ribosomal RNA". It matches the Rfam family "Bacterial small subunit ribosomal RNA", at positions 338 to 795 of the family's 1533-position model. The record is from RNAcentral.